AUCGCGCCAGCGGUAGACGCAGGGUAGCUGUGUUCGGAGCGGAUAAGUGCUGAAAGCAUAUAAGUACGAAGCCCACCCCAAGAUGAGAAUUCCCAUACCACAAGGUAGUAAGACCCCGGGAAGACCACCCGGUUGAUAGGACGCAGGUCGAAGAGCCGCAUAAAGGCGGUUUGCAGCUGAGCGUUACUAAUUAGGUCGAGGGCUUAUCCAG
Molecule: ribosomal RNA, 211 nt
Filed under: Candidatus Obscuribacterales bacterium
Lineage: Bacteria; Bacillati; Candidatus Melainabacteria; Candidatus Obscuribacterales
Description: partial 23S ribosomal RNA
Rfam family: Bacterial large subunit ribosomal RNA
Source: RNAcentral